GGAGGCAGCAGUGGGGAAUUUUCCGCAAUGGGCGAAAGCCUGACGGAGCAAUACCGCGUGAGGGAGGAAGGCUCUUGGGUCGUAAACCUCUUUUCUCAGGGAAGAAAAAAAUGACGGUACCUGAGGAAUAAGCAUCGGCUAACUCCGUGCCAGCAGCCGCGGUAAUACGGAGGAUGCAAGCGUUAUCCGGAAUGAUUGGGCGUAAAGCGUCCGCAGGUGGCAAUGUAAGUCUGCUGUUAAAGAGUGAGGCUCAACCUCAUAAGAGCAGUGGAAACUACAUAGCUAGAGUACGUUCGGGGCAGAGGGAAUUCCUGGUGUAGCGGUGAAAUGCGUAGAGAUCAGGAAGAACACCGGUGGCGAAGGCGCUCUGCUAGGCCGUAACUGACACUGAGGGACGAAAGCUAGGGGAGCGAAUGGGAUUAGAUACCCCAGUAGUCCUAGCCGUAAACGAUGGAUACUAGGCGUGGCUUGUAUCGACC
Molecule: ribosomal RNA, 479 nt
Filed under: Nostoc flagelliforme
Lineage: Bacteria; Bacillati; Cyanobacteriota; Cyanophyceae; Nostocales; Nostocaceae
Description: bacterial SSU rRNA
Rfam family: Bacterial small subunit ribosomal RNA
Source: RNAcentral